This is a long non-coding RNA of Mauremys reevesii (Reeves's turtle), 1847 nucleotides long. RefSeq lists it as uncharacterized. Lineage: Eukaryota; Metazoa; Chordata; Testudines; Geoemydidae. The transcript has 4 exons. The record is from RefSeq and is a predicted model, not a curated record.
AAUAGGAGCUUAGGGAGGAAGAUGAGCUACUGGAGAUCUGAGCAGUGCAGAUACUGACAAGCAUUUGGAGAGAAGCUACACAGGAAGAGCAAGCUGUCGGUGCUUCGAUCCAAAAUCAUUAUCAGAAAGGGCCUGUUGAAUUGAAUGACUGGAGGAAGAGAUGUAGGAACCAUUUCUACGACAGUGACUGCUACUGCUUCAGUGCCGUUCUCAUGAACAUUCAGCAGAGCCUUGUGAACAGCCUGCAAGGAAAUGAAGUAAACGUUACAGUCUAAAUACAGAACGGUGGGCAGUGGCUGAAACUGAACAUGCUCACUUUUAAACCAGAGCUCUUUGGAAAAUCAGCUGGUAAGACAUGAGCCCAAUAAGAGCAGGACUGAUGGAGCACAAUGGAAGAAAUACAAACAGCAUUCCCAAUGAGUUCGUUAGGAGCUUUGUCUGUGUAAGUAAGUAUUGCAGGGUUAGGCGCAUUAAUAUUAAAAGACUGAGCUGGAAGAUUCAAAUCACCACAAAGGGAUUCUCCUAUUCACUACUCCUCACCACAGAAGAAUAGUUUCAGAAUCUGAAAUAAAUGUCUAGUGAAGAAUUAGUUUACAACAGAAAACUGGAUCAGCUUCAAGAGGAAUGAUGACAUCAGAGGGAAAGGAACCAGCUAGCUGAGCUCCAGGGAGGCAAAACUGACAUGAAUUCUCAAUGUUUUUCUCAAGCACCUGAUCUGCAAACCAAAGCACAGUAACUCAGGGGUCAGAGUGUACAGCUGUGGUGGGGAAGCCAAUGGCAGCACAGGCAUCAGCCACUCUUUCAGGGAUUCUGGAAUCUGGACCAAGGGACUUUUCUGUAUGGCUGAUUGGAGACCUACAUGGCUGAAACCAGACUUUCCUGUGAAUCCCCAGUCUUACACUAGGACCACAUACCACUUCCUGCACUUCUCUCACCUAAGUCUGCAGCUGAAAGGAGGAUGCAGAGAAGAGACACCACCCUCAACCUGGUGAGGUUUCACAUGGGCUGAUUUCUUUGCAUGUGCUUCUCAGAUGUGUUAGUUACAUAUCCUCACAGCUUACCUUAUGGACAAUACAAAACUUGCAAGAGUGUUUUAGCUAUACAAGAAUGCAUAAGGAAAUGUACCCUGAGUAGGGCUGGCUAGAAAACAAUAUUUUGUGUCAUUUAAAAAAAAAGAGUUUUUUACAUUUGUUUUUGUUCAUGCAGAACAAAAAUUAGAUAUUUAAAAAAAAAUUUCACAAAAAGCAAACACCCUAGAAUAGCCACCAGCCCAGGGUAGUUACCACAAAUGGAUUGGAACAGGAACUUAAACAUGGCUCGCCCAUAUUCCAGGCAAGUAUCCUAAUCACUGGUCUAAGUUGGGAUGUGCUGCUCUCAUCGUACUGUGACUAGAAAUUCAUCCUGAAACUGAGACAUCUCGAUGGAAAUGCCUAACUCCAUAUAUUUUUGCAAAACAUUUUGGCUUUUAAGGAAAUGGCAUUUUUAACCAGCUCUAACUUUGAGUAUGAUAGAAGGGUAUGAGUGAGAUGCUGCCCUGUAUACUGAAUACACAAGAUUAUUUGCUGAAAGCGUGCCAAAAAAGUAUAUAAACCUAAUAACCCCACCUCCUUAAUGCUAACUUCACCCUUUCCUCAUUUACAUAGAUGAUAAAAAUACCCGCUGUGGAAAAAACAAUAUUGUUAAUAAUCACAUGGUAAAGCUGCAUUAGAGUGUGAGUUACAGGACAUUGGGUGCACGGUGUUUAUUUCUGUGUUGCAAGUGGAAGGGAUUUUCGUGUGCAAGCCAGGACUCUGGUAGUAGGACUGGUUAUUGUGGUAAUGUGCACAGUAUGACAAAUACCAUUUUCU